Long non-coding RNA from Polyodon spathula (Mississippi paddlefish), 932 nucleotides. RefSeq lists it as uncharacterized. The record is from RefSeq and is a predicted model, not a curated record. Lineage: Eukaryota; Metazoa; Chordata; Actinopteri; Acipenseriformes; Polyodontidae. The transcript is spliced from 4 exons.
GAAACUAAACAGCAUCUCUGACUAAUGCAUCAAGUAGAACUCUUUUCAGUGCCGUCACAACACUACCAGCACCAGCAGGAGCCGGACCUGCGACACCAGCCAGCAGCAGAGAAGUGUUUUUUAGGAACCUGAUGAGGAUGGCACUGCAGAAUUCCACAGCUAUGACGCAGAAAAAUCUCAGCACUACUAAAACUCGACCAGUUCGGCGUCUGCAACAGUGACCACCUUUGCACAGAAAAUGCUGAAUUUUUUUCCCACAGGAAGAUAGUGACCAUCAAACCAAGGCAAGUGGCUGGCUCUAAACUGUGCGAUCCAGUGUACUUGUAAGCAUAGUUUACAUGGAUCUUCUCCUUUGAACUGCCAUAUAAUAAAGGAGAGCAUCAAGUAGCAUGACAGAAGAGCAGCACAGUUAUCAAACAAACUGGGACCACAUCAGUGGGAUAUCAUUACAUGCUAUUGAUUUAGGCUUCACUGCCAGCAAGAUACCUAGACAGCCACAUCAUAUUGUUUCAGAGGGUUACCUUAGGAGUUUCUAUGUGACCCUUAAUUGAUCUGUAACAUUGCCAAUUUGUUUUUCUUUUUAGAAAGCGGCCCUAAUAUUGUUAUUGUUGCAGUGUUAGAAAGUCACACUAGUCCUACACCCAUGAUCAACUGAUACUGUUGUAGAUCUAGACUUGGGUCAGAAUUCAGUGCAAUCAGUUCAUGUAUCAGGGGCCUGGUUCUUCAAAUUCCUGGCACAUGGUAUUUUCAAAGAGUUUAUCCAAAAAGGGAAGUUUUGAAACCCAGGACUGGGUGUGGUUACCAGUUAGAUUUUCUUCUCCAGUUUUCAUGUGUGUAUGUAAGUUAAUCAUUUGUGUUUGCUGCUUAAACACAUACGUAUAUGAACACACCUACCUAAGUUAUGAUACCACUGUCAAAGUAAUAUUCUGUUG